This 347-nucleotide ribosomal RNA is filed under the name uncultured bacterium. Its description in RNAcentral is "bacterial SSU rRNA". It matches the Rfam family "Bacterial small subunit ribosomal RNA", at positions 9 to 337 of the family's 1533-position model. The record is from RNAcentral.
GAGUUUGAUCCUGGCUCAGGACCGUAACGACUCGGUCGGCGUGCCUAACACAUCGCAAGUUAGACGCGGAGAUAUCGGAAGAGCUUGCGUCUUUAGUAUUUUAGCAGCGAACGGGUGAGUAACACGUAGAUAAUUUGUCCUAUAUUGGGGGAUAGGCCGAUGAAAAUUGGAUUAAUACCGCAUACAGCUAUUUAACCGCAUGGGGAGAUAGUGAAAGGGGAAACUUGAUAUAGGAGGAGUCUGCGGCACAUUAGCUAGUAGGUGAGGUAAGAGCUUACCUAGGCGACGAUGUGUAGCCGGUCUGAGAGGAUGAACGGCCACAAUGGAACUGAGACACGGUCCAUACU